This 4396-nucleotide long non-coding RNA is filed under the name Nicotiana benthamiana. RNAcentral's name for it is "long non-coding RNA (NBEN_LNC026148)". The record is from RNAcentral. Lineage: Eukaryota; Viridiplantae; Streptophyta; Magnoliopsida; Solanales; Solanaceae.
GUUGAAUCCGAUGAAGCUUGCCUACGUAUCGUGACCCCGCAUGAAUCAGACCGGGCGUAGUUCGUGAAUAUAAAAGGUUAAAACAAUAAAACAUAUUUUGGGACUAAUCAAUUUUUCAUAACAAAAUAAACUUUGAUUACAAAGGUUUAAAAACUGACCAAACUAAUACAUUUUAACGAAAAGACGACGUACAUACUUGAAAAUCAAACACCUCACAUACUCUAAUCAAACGAAAAAUAAACUGACAGUUUCUUUAUCCUAUAUGCCAAUUUCAACCAAAUGGCUAUUUUUGCAAACGUUCCCUCUUCCUAAUCGCACGAAUUUUGAGGCCAGGAAGGAUUAUUUUAUGUAACUUCACAAACCUUUCCAUUCUUUUACGAAAAUAGCAUUUCAACAACUAAAAGAUACUCUAGGGCUAUCUCGGGAAGAACAGUUUAAGACAUUACCGAAGAUGGCUCGGCUUAUUUAGACCAAAACUUCAAGCGGUAUUCACUUGACCACUUACUCUUUUUCAUGUUUUUGAAAUUAAAAUAAAAGACCUGGGUUUGCAACAUGGUCUUUCAGCAUCUCGGGGAUGAAUAUUUUAAGGCUGCAUCUGCCAUCCGACCAAAAUCCUGAAAAAUGACCAAAGGUGAUUAUUCUCGCAAAAGCGGCCUUCCGGCGUCCUUUUUGGGACAUUUGGCUUAUUUUUGAUGAGAAUGGUGGCAGCCAAAUUAUUCAUGUCAAAAUUUACAACUUAGAUAUUUUUUGGCUAUUUUUGCAAAGGGAAAGUUGGACCCGAUGAAGGUUUCCUACGUAUCUCACGCCUUGUGAGAAUCAAACCAUGCGUAGUUCAGGCAUAUAAACUGAGCUAUUUUAAAAUAGGGCCCUUUUUCAUUUUCAUUUUUGUCAUUUCAAUUAAAAAAACUACUAUUAAAAAUCAGACUCUUUUUCCUUUUCUUUUUCAACAAACAACCUAUUUUCCAAACAAAAAAUAAAGAUUCCUUUUCUUUUUCUUUUUCAACAAACAAUAAAACAACCUAUUUUUCCCAACUAAAAUUAAAGAUUUUUUUUAGCAAACAAUAAAACAACCUAUUUUCUUUUCCGCUAGUAAACAAGAAAAACCAAAAAUAACGACUCUUUUUUUUUCAUUUUCCAUUUUCGUAAACAGGAAACUUAUAAAUGACAUACUCUUUUUGAAAAUGACAACUAUUUUAAAAACAAAACACUUUUUCAUUUUCUCAAAAUUUCGCUAGAGUUCCGACUGUAUUUGAGCAUUGAGCUUUUCUAAAAAAAAUCAGCUAACUCUCCAACUGCUAUUUUUCUAUUUUUCUCUUUUUUUCUAUUUUCAAAUUUCAAACAUUUCCGAGAUUCAGACUUCGGUCAGCAUGCGAGUCCGAAACAAAUGAAUGCACAGAACACAAGCAGGAUGCAUCAAGAUGGUCUUUUCCAUUCUGGUUGCUAUUCCUAGAUGGAUCCAAUCCCCGUGUUGAGUCCCCUAAGUCAAAAAUGUACAUGAUGCAAAAUAAACGAUACUACUAGGGAUCCAACAAGAAGUUGAGUUAUUCUAGGUUUAGAACCUAGGUGUUUGUUCUAGACCUGGCUUACCCGAGCAGAUAGCUCGAGCCGAGGGAGAGUCAGCGUACCAGGAAUACAGAAGCUUCACCGGCUUUGUAACUUAUCCAAACCUCGUUCUGUAUUGGUAAUUAGACUCUAUACUAAAAAGAAGUCACACGAAGUGCACCCUUCUUCAUGAUUUAGAAGACUCAGAGAGAAGACGGGUUUCGGCACAAUUUAUAUACAGUUCACGUAAUAUCAAAGCGGUAAAAGAAAUCAACUAGCAUAUUAAGCACAUAUCAUGUAACAAAAUCAUAUAACGCCAAACGCAACGAUUAUUCUAAGCUCAAAUUCUGAACCCUGAACAAAAGUUCUUGGUUCUUCUCCUCAGCAGAGUCGCCAGAGCUGUCACACCUCCUUUUUCACUACACCUGCAAGGGCGUAAAGGAGUUUUUCCAAUUAAAGGACAAUCGGAACGGGAUUUAUUAUUAAAGAUUAAGAGUCGCCACUUGGGAGAUUAAUGGUGUCCCAAGUCACCGAUUGAAUCCCGAACUGAGGAAAUAAUGACUCUGUUAACAGUCCACGAAUUAGAAAUUCAGAUAAGGAAUUCUAUUAACCCAGGAGAAGGUGUCAGGCAUUACCGUGUUCCGUGGUUCUAGCACGAUCGCUCAACUGUCGCAUUUAGCUUAUUUAUCUAGUUUUAUUACAUUAAGAACCUAUGUGCCAAUUUUUACUUUUUACCGAUUUUAUUUAAUAUGUAUUUUUAUAAAAAAGUUAAACAUCGUUUAAAGCGUGCCUUUAGAUUGCGUCACAUGAAAUGCACCCGCAAUCCUAAGGACACUCUAUUCAAUAUUUUGGGAUUUGAUUUGGGUCGCAUGAAAUGCACACCCGAGUUUAAGAAUGUAAUUUUAUUAAAAUCGCGUCUAAAGAGACUAACGCAUUGUUAUCGUUUGGGAAGGCCGUGAAAUUCACUGAACGUUCCGUCCGGCAUUCCUAAGUAUGUUAGCUUUUACUGAGGGCCCCGCAAUAUUGUAUUUUUAUUGGGCGAUGCUCAUCUCAUUUUAGUUUAAAGGGCAAACCGAAAAGCAACUAUGACUUUUUUAUUUUUGUUUUGUCUCUAAAAGAUAAAUUAAAAAAAUCCUAAUUAAUUAAUAUUAGAUAUUGGACUUCAAGUUCAAGUUGGGGCCUAAACAAAAAGGAAAACCUUUUAAUUUGAACCCGCUACCUAACCAAAACUCAAACUCAUAGGAUUACUUAAAUACUUAAUUGAAUUCUUUGUACUAGGCCGAAAUCGUGGGCCCAGCGAUCCCAGCUGGAUAUCCUUGCUAAUUGAACUAAAAGGAGCCAUAGUAAUGGACCUUCAGAUGGCCCGCACGGCCCAAAAUUUUGUUGCCCCCCCCCCUCCCCGGUAACGUGCAUUAAACUUCAAGCCAUAUUGAUGAGGAGCUACUUAAAGAGCACUAAUUACUUAAUUGAAAUGCUCAAUUGUACAUUGCGCAGUUAUUAUCCAUACAUUGUUAUUAUCACUAAUGAAUUAAUUGACAUUCUCAAGAAGACAAGAAUGGAAAUUAUCAACUCAAACUAAUAACUAAUCGUACUUUAUUCCUAAUUCGAUUUUGACAAGCACAUUAAUAUGACUUAAAACGAUAUUACAAUGAGUGGGGUAUUCUGGAGAUUGUUAUGCCUUGUACAAUGUGACUCAGGAUUUGGAUAAUAUAUGCACUACUCCGGAUUAAUUCAUGCUAGCAAAUGAAAGUAAACAAUGGAAACACAAACAUAUGAUUACCAAUUUUACAGAAGGUAUACUAGGCUUAUUAAACUAGAAACUAUCACAAGCAAUUAUUGAACACAAUCUCAAUUGAUCUUAACAUCUGAUUUCACAUUUGAUCCCUGUGAUUUUAAUAGAUCCUAACCGACUGAAUCCAUGACUGAAUGAUCAGCUAUUAAAUUACUACUACAUGAAGCAUCACAACUCAAAAAAUAUCGCUUAACACCUGAUUUUACAUUCGAUCCCUGUGGUUUUAACAGAUCCUAACCUACUGAAUCCAUGACUGAAUGAUCAGCUAUUAAAGUACUACAUGAAUCACCACAACUCAAAACAAAAAACAACAGUCCACAGGUCAAAACAUAGUUCGCAAUCUUCAAUUCAAAAUUAUACACAAAUCCACUUCACACUUCAGUAUAGGUCAAACAACUAAAACUAACAGUCAUACUAAAAAUGUGAGCAAAUUCUGGAAGCUAAUUUCAUUUAACUCCAAAUUAGAAGUACAUUACAGAGAAUUCAAAUUUGUACCUGAAAUUCGAAACGAAAUAGAAAAUGGGGAGGUUAGCAGCAGAGAUAACUUCAGCAGCAAUUCAGAAACCAGUUUUAAUUCCCAGCAGCAAUCAGUGAAGUAUAAAACAGUCCAGCAAAGAUUCAGAAAUUCAAAGUACCUGGAAACCACACAGAAUGACCAGAUUUACUCACAACUAAUUCAAAAUGAGCCUAGACCCACUCAAACACAAAUCAGAUAACCCAGCAACUUCAGAAAUCAGAACUAGAUCACAGAAUAAUUUGCAAAUUAGAACCUAAAACUGAAAUUCACCUAUCACCAAAUGGAACAAUAGCUCUUUUUGGGUUUGUUGAAGUUUUAUAUUGUUUUUUGGAUUUUUAUGAAGAGAGUUAAGAUAUGAAAGGAAUUUAGAUCUGAAAUUCAAAUUUCAGAUCUAGAAGGAUUGAAGAACGUUUUUUUUGGGGUAGGGGGAUUCUUUGGGUUUUCCCCCUCUUUCAAGGAAGAAUGUGCAAGCCUUUAUAUAAGCAGGAAUUAGGAGGGCUCUAGAACUAUUUUUCAUUUAUUGCUCCACCCCCUAAUUAGGCUCC